Molecule: unclassified non-coding RNA, 306 nt
Filed under: Hevea brasiliensis (rubber tree)
Lineage: Eukaryota; Viridiplantae; Streptophyta; Magnoliopsida; Malpighiales; Euphorbiaceae
Source: RNAcentral
GUUUUCAUCAUCUUAUGGUGCCACUUGGCAUCUCAUGCCACAUUACCACCAAGACACUAAGCCACAUUUUUUCUCAUGGCUUCAUAAGCCAUUUAAGCUAAAUAAUUCUUCUUACCAAAAUAAUCUAUAUCACAUAUAAAUUACUAAUUAAUUAAACUCCUUUAAUUAAUUAAGCUUCUAUUUAAACAUUUCAAAUAUUAGCUUAUUUCCUUUUAAUGAACCCAAUUACUUGAAUUUAAUAUCAAGUCAUGCUAGAGACCUUGCAAUCUAACUAAAAAUUAAAUUUAUCAAUUUAAUUAAUCAGUU